RNAcentral lists this unclassified non-coding RNA (287 nucleotides) under uncultured Atheliaceae. RNAcentral's name for it is "sequence contains ITS2". The stretch from base 1 to 52 matches the Rfam family "5.8S ribosomal RNA", at positions 103 to 154 of the family's 154-position model. The record is from RNAcentral. Lineage: Eukaryota; Fungi; Basidiomycota; Agaricomycetes; Atheliales; Atheliaceae.
AACGCACCUUGCGCUCCUUGGUAUUCCGAGGAGCAUGCCUGUUUGAGUGUCAUUAAAUCCUCAACCCCGAUCGAUUUGUUUCGACCUCGGGGCUUGGACUUGGAGCGUGCUGGCGUGAGUCGGCUCCUCUCAAAUUGAUCGGCGGAAUUCAAUCCUUGGCUUGCGGACGUCAGUGUGAUAAUCACGUUGCGCUGUCGUUUGAGCCGUAAGGGUCCGCUUACAAUGGUCUUCGGACAACCUCAUUUAAAUUUGACCUCAAAUCAGGUAGGACUACCCGCUGAACUUAA